RNAcentral lists this ribosomal RNA (556 nucleotides) under uncultured archaeon. RNAcentral describes it as "bacterial SSU rRNA". It matches the Rfam family "Archaeal small subunit ribosomal RNA", at positions 322 to 872 of the family's 1478-position model. The record is from RNAcentral.
CUUACGGAGGAAGCAGCAGGGCGCGAAACCUUUACAAUGCACGUAGGUGUGAUAGGGGGAAUUCAGAGUGCUUACACACAGUGUAGGCUUUUGCCAAGAGUAAAUAUCUUGGAGAAUAAGUAGUGGGUAAGACUGGUGCCAGCCGCCCGCGGUAACACCAGCGCCACAAGUGGGAAUCGAUUUUAUUGGGCUUAAAGCGUUCGUCAGCUGGUCUUGUAAAUCUUUUGUGAAAUCGUUGCCCUCAAUGCAACGACGUGCGGAGGACGCUGCAAGACUUGGAGCCGGGAGGGGUCAGAAGUAUGCCAGGGGGAGCGGUAAAAUGUUAUAAUCCCCUGGUAGACUACCUUUGGCGAAGGCGUCUGACUAGAACGGGUUCGACAGUGAGGAACGAAAGCUGGGGGAGCGAUCCGGAUUAGAUACCCGAGUAGUCCCAGCCGUAAACGCUGUGAACUAGAUGUCGCGUAUUCUUCAGUGAAUAUGCGGUGUCGAAGCGAAAGUGUUAAGUUCACCGCCUGGGAAGUAUAGUCGCAAGACCGAAACUUAAAGGAACGGCGGG